AUUGGACGCUGGCGGCAGGCUUAACACAUGCGAGUCGAGCGGGGGAAGGUAGCUUGCUACCGGACCUAGCGGCGGACGGGUGAGUAAUGCUUAGGAAUCUGCCUAUUAGUGGGGGACAACAUCUCGAAAGGGAUGCUAAUACCGCAUACGUCCUACGGGAGAAAGCAGGGGAUCUUCGGACCUUGCGCUAAUAGAUGAGCCUAAGUCGGAUUAGCUAGUUGGUGGGGUAAAGGCCUACCAAGGCGACGAUCUGUAGCGGGUCUGAGAGGAUGAUCCGCCACACUGGGACUGAGACACGGCCCAGACUCCUACGGGAGGCAGCAGUGGGGAAUAUUGGACAAUGGGGGGAACCCUGAUCCAGCCAUGCCGCGUGUGUGAAGAAGGCCUUAUGGUUGUAAAGCACUUUAAGCGAGGAGGAGGCUACUUUAGUUAAUACCUAGAGAUAGUGGACGUUACUCGCAGAAUGAGCACCGGCUAACUCUGUGCCAGCCGCCGCAGUAA
This 501-nucleotide ribosomal RNA is filed under the name uncultured bacterium. RNAcentral describes it as "partial 16S ribosomal RNA". It matches the Rfam family "Bacterial small subunit ribosomal RNA", at positions 30 to 523 of the family's 1533-position model. The record is from RNAcentral.